Molecule: long non-coding RNA, 16131 nt
Filed under: Capsicum annuum
Lineage: Eukaryota; Viridiplantae; Streptophyta; Magnoliopsida; Solanales; Solanaceae
Description: long non-coding RNA (CANN_LNC015408)
Source: RNAcentral
GCUCACUACUAAAACUGUUGCUGAUAACUGAAUGUGUCUAUAUGCGGUCAGGAACCUGAGCAUCCAAGCUAUGAUAUGAGACAUCAUAGCGUAAAGAAAGAGUAUGCGUCAGUACGUGAAAUUUACUGGUAUUAUAGAUGAGGUAGGCUGAUAUGUAUGGGUUUAUAUGCAUGAACAAAUAGCUGGCUGUGUAAUAUGACUAUAACUGAAUAAGAGUACAUAUAUAGCAAAAAUUGAUGAAAUACUAAUUAUGCAAUACUAUGCACAUAUCUACAUAUACUGUGUCUGAGAUCAUAGUAACAAUGGAUACUGAGUUUUAAUAACUAAAAGACUGAUAACUGAGUUUACUGUUAAUAUAAUCCUGUUAACUAAGUGACUAUUUCAGACAGUCCUGAUUCUGUGAAACAGUGCUGAGUUCUAUACUAAGCUGAGUGACUGUGUCUGACAGUCCUGAUUCUAUAGAACUGAACUGAGUUCUAUACUAAGACUGAAACUAAAACUGUAGGAGGUAAUCAUCAAAUCGAUAUGCCCCAUCUCUGAGCUGAUUUGGGGUCUAACCUGUAACCCCAGUUGGAAGGGUGUCAGUACCAUGCCACGGGUAAAGACAAGUGCUGAGUCAUCCUCAUCUGGCAAGUACUCUAAACGAGAAUAGUGGUACCCUCAACUGGCUGGUAGUGCACUUCAUCUACCCUCAACUGGCAGGUUGAUAUCUUAACCUACGCUAGCUACAUAGUUCUGGAACAUAAGGACUACUUCUAGGGAUCACACCCUCUACUAGUAGGUGAAUCCCCAUCCUUGGGUUCACUCGGUGUUGAAUUCUACUUCCAACUGAAUAGAUACUGAACUAAUUUUUAAACUAUUUUAGGCUAGACUAAACUAUUACUGAUCAUGUUAACUGAUUGAACUGGACUGAGUUCACUGAGUACUAUAACUGAUUGCGUGUUCUGAGUUUUGUACUAACUGAAUACUACUGUACAUGACAUCACUAAGACUAUUUUGAAGCUAUUAUACUUCUAGGUAAACAGCUAGAUUUUCGGAUAUUAGAUACCCCCAGGACUCGAUAGCAUAAAAAGUAAGGCACAACAUGAUCUUGAAAAGCAUUACAAUGUUCAUAACUCAUUGAUAGAGAUAUUUUAUCAAACACUUGUAAGAUAUAAGCUUGUACAUAUGCUAGCAUGUCAUGAUUUCCCAAUUUAAUUCACAUGAGUAAUUUAUCAAAUACUUGGGGAUAUAAUCUAUACACAUGAUACUAAACAACAUGUAGGCAUCAUGAUUUCAAAUCCCAAUCUACAAAUUCAAAGGCUUAAACAUUAAUUCACAUAAUACUACACACAUGUCACAUAAAUUUACAUAAAUUUUGUAAUAAAUCAUGGAUUAGAAACCCAAUUAACAUCAUGGUCAUGAAUACAUUCAAACCCAACAUGAAAUUCAUGAAAUCAAUAAACUUGAGGUUUUAAAAGAGGUUCUUGAACUCCAAGGGUGGAAGAAAACCCUUGGAUGAACCCUUAUCAUGCCCUAGGGUUUUGUUCUUGAGAGUAUUUGAUAAUAAUGAGUGAAAUUUGCCUUUAGAAAGGCUUAAUUACAUGUUUUGGGGCUAAAUAGGAGUGGAGAAAUUGACCGAAAUACCCCUCUAGAUAUGGAAUUAAAAGAGCAAAAACUGCGCCCAGUGACGCGUAGACCGAUGCACCUCAUCGAUAGCAUCAAUGCAAUGACCAAUGCACCACAUCGAGUUCGCAUUAGUUCACUAGAAUUAAACUAAAAAUUGGGGAAAAAUUAUCUGUUGACACGAUGGACAACGUGAUGCAUUAAGUUUGCAUUGACCCACUGUUUUGGUCACGUGAACAUAGUUCAAAUGAGGUCCAAAAAAUUCAAAACUCACCCGAAGUGACCUACUGAUAUUCCUGAUCAUAAAUCAACCUAAAAAUUGAUAUUUUAAGGUCAUAAGGGUCAUGAAAUAGGAUCUCCAACUUACGAAGGCUAAUUACUUCUAAGUAUAAACACUUAACUGAAAUUUCUAACUCUGGGACCUCUUUUCAAGCUUCAUCGGAUUGAGUUAAACUUAAAAUUUUGCCGGGUCCUACACUUCUUCUCACUCUCUACCUUUUUAUUAGUAAAUACUUUAAAUUUGUAUGAGAAAAAAAAUUACAAUAUUUUAGGAAAAUUUCUAUCUUAGAGAUUUUGCAUAAAAUUAGUAGAAAACAUAAUAAGAAAAAUAUGGAGUGUGUAAGGAAUAUAUUGCCAAAAUUACCGUUUAAAUUUCAAGUAAUUUAUUUGUUUUAUUCCAAAUAUAGACAGUUUUAAUUUGUAAAAAGAAAAAAAAAUAAUAUAAAUGAAAGGAGAUACAAUUUUUCUUUAGAAAAAGCAAGUAAGUUGGAAUAUUUUAAAAUAUUACGAGCAGAUAAAGGAAAAUUAAAUCUGAUUUGAGAGGACAAUUAGGAAAUAAAGAGAAAAUAAUAGCUAUAAUUUGGAAAAACGAAUAAUUAACAUGUGGGAAAAAAAUAUAAAUUGAUUAAUAAGAAAAUGACGGAAAGAAAAAAUAAAGAGAGAGAGAGAGAGAGAGAGCGCUUUGAGUUUAAAUUUAUCAUUAAUUUGAUAUAGAAAAUUUUAUUUUUCUCACCUUUCUAUAUUUUUCAUUAAAAUAUAUAAAAUUUGUAUGAAGAAAAGAUGAGAAUAUUUUAGAAAAAGUUUAGUAUUGGAAGAUUUUACUUGAAAUUAAGAGAAGACAAAAAGAAAAGCAUGGCCAAAAUUAGAGUUUAUAAAUUUAUAAAUAAUAAUUUAUUUAUUUUGUUCCAUAUUUAGUCAUCCUAUGUUUGUAGAGAAUAAAGAUAAAUUACACAAAUGGUAGGAGAUAUAGUUCAAAAAUAAAGUAAAAAAGUUGAGAUAUUUAUUGAAAUAUUACGUGGAGAAAAAGAAAAGAAAUGACUUGUUAUUUUAGAGAAAACUUAGGGACUAAAUGGAGAAUAAUAGUCGUAAUUAGGGAAAAUGCAUAAUAAAUAUAUGAGGAAGAAGGAAAAAUUAAUAAAAAUGAAAAAGAAAGGUAAAAAGGAAAAAAAUAAACAAAAAGGAAUGCCAAAGAUUUGAAUUUGAUUGUAUCAUUUCCUUUUUUUGAUUUGCUUUUUUCCUUCUUCUCAAUUUUUAGUUCAUUUCAUAUUAGUUAAAUUCAAAUAAAUCCAUAUAUUUUUGUACAUGAAUAAUGUGAUGGUUGGCGUAGAGUCGGUAAUAUGAUACCUCUUUUUGACUAUCAAUUAAAUUAAUCUUUUAUCUUGUAUUUUUAGCUAUUUUCUUAUCUCUUCUUAAAAUUUUCAUAAAAUAAUGGUAUCUUUGCAGAAAUUAUACCUUAUUAAUGUUAUGAUAAAUAUUGCCCAUCAACGUAUCAUUAUAGCAGAAAAGCAAAUAGCUAUUGAUAAAUGUAACGAUAGAAUUUGAAUGGCUCUAAUGAUUCAUAAUAAUUAAGAAAAAUAGAAUGAUUAGGUAAAUUGUGGAGUUUACAUUGGUAAAGACAAAUUAACAUAAGAGAAUUCAUAACGCAAAAGAAGGAAUAUAAAGGGUAUCAAGAUUGGGUAUUUUAUUUUCUUCUUUAUUAAUUACAAAAAAUUUAGUAGGAUUUGCAACAAAUUAUUUUAUUGAAUUAAAAAUCUACAGGUUUUGGUUUGGAUCGCUGCUUUCAUGGAUAAUUAAUAAACGGUACUCUUCGUGUUUCAUUAAUUAUUAAAUAGCUGCAGUAUAGUAAGUAUAGUUGUAUGGUUAUUGACAUGUAAAGUAUUUGUAGAAUUCAGUGCCAUUGAAUUUUUUAUUUUUAUAAUUGAGAAGGAGUGCCCAAAAUAAAAAUAAUGAUAAAUAGAUUCCUUGGUCAAUGAAAUAUGCCACAUUACUCCUUUUUUUAUAUAAAAUAAUGAAAUUCCACGAGUCUUUAUACUGAUUCAAAAUAAUAGUAAAUGAGUGAUUUUGUUAAUACUAGAUAUUUAUUGGUUAAACGACUGAGUGAUAGCUUUUUGGGUUGUAUUUUCGGAGUUUCAAAACUUCUUUUUUAUGUGUGAUGAAAGCAAAGUUAUAUGAUAUGAAGAGAUGGAGGUGAAACAAAAAUUUAAAUUAUGAUUUUAAUGUUUAACAUUCUUAGCACUAAGACGUUAUAUUUUAAAAUAUAUGUGUUUACAUUUAUUAUUUAUUAUAAUUGUAAUGACUUUUAUGUAAUAUAUAAAUUACGUUAUUUGUGAAUAUACUAAACUAGAUAAAUCAACUAGGUGACAUCUUAUUUUAGAGUGAUAGAAAAUUGUAUCAAGAUAUUAUUAUAUUAUUGUUUAGCAGGUUUUUAGUUGAAGUUUCAAUAGUUGAUGUAUUUGUUUAAUGAAUAUUUUAUAGUUAUUUCACAUUGUGAGAUACUUUUUAGACACUCACGAAAAAAAUGCACCAAAGUAUUUGGUGUAAAUUAAAGAUUUCAUUUCUGUGAAUAUGUAAAAAAAAUAGAGCAAAUUUUUAUUGCAAAAUCUAUUUUAACUUAUUGAUGAAGAACAUAUUAUCUAUAAUUUAAUAGAUGUUAAAUUUGUUAAGUUGAGAGGACCAAGAUAGAAUUAAUGCAAUGCCAAGAAGCAAUAGAAAAACAACCCAUGGAUUUGAGAUUGAAAGAUCACAAAUUGGAGAAAGUUAAAGAGUAUGGCAAAUGUAAAGCGGCUUGGGAUCAGUUCUUGAAACAAAAAUCAAAUAUACAAUGGUUGCUUUAAUUAUAUCAAAAUACGUAUUUUAAUCAUAGCUAUUUGAAAGAUCGGAAGNNNNNNNNNNNNNNNNNNNNNNNNNNNNNNNNNNNNNNNNNNNNNNNNNNNNNNNNNNNNNNNNNNNNNNNNNNNNNNNNNNNNNNNNNNNNNNNNNNNNNNNNNNNNNNNNNNNNNNNNNNNNNNNNNNNNNNNNNNNNNNNNNNNNNNNNNNNNNNNNNNNNNNNNNNNNNNNNNNNNNNNNNNNNNNNNNNNNNNNNNNNNNNNNNNNNNNNNNNNNNNNNNNNNNNGGAAGAAGUAAUAGUGCGUUCAUCAUUAAAGACAAAGAUUGAGUAUAGUAAGCAGGCAUGGAGUCAAUAAGUCAAGCAUUCAUAUAUUAUUAAACCACACUCUUAGGGUAAGCUAACUCAGAACGACAACAUGUUAGCAAAGAGAUUCUCGAACAUGGUCCCUUGUUAUCAGUUGAGCGAGAACUUUAUUAGAGGCAAACUUUAGUAAACAAGAAGUGAAGACAACAUUGUGGGGAAUAGAUGGGAACAAAUCUCCAAGCUUGGAUGGAUGGGAGUCAAUUUUUUAAAGACAACAUGGAGCUAGUGAGAAAAGAUAUAGUGAUGUUAUGCCCCAUAAGUUCAACGAUUUUAUUUUGAUUGCUUUCAUGUGCUCUAAUGCGAUUUUAAGAUUGAAGGAUGAUUAAAAAUGAUAAUGGGACCAUUGAAAAGUUUUUCAAAAUUUUUGGAAUAAGUUUUGGGGAUAGACAUAACACCAAAACAGUAAGGAUCCGAGUUUAGUCCAUGCCAUGGAGGCAAGGCAUAGCUCGAAUGCAAAAAUCAAUGGUCUUGUGUGAUAAGGGAAUGACAUGAUAGCUGGUCAUAUGAUAAGUGUGUGACACAUCACUGGUUUGAUACGAUAAGGGUAUGUCACGCCAAUGGCCACGGCGACGUCAAAAUUCUAUUUGUCCAUUAGCUUUUCAAGGGUAAAUUGGUAAUUUAUGUCCUAAAUGAUCUUAUAAAUUUUCCCAAAAUAUUUUCCCUUACUCUUUACAGAAAUUCGACAUUCAUUCUCCAUCCAAAACUUAUAAGAACACAAAAUAGUGUUUUAAAGAAUUCAACCUCAAGGGCCCCCAACUCAAACAUUCCUCUAAGUAAUCAAUAAGUUUGGGUAUAUGGGGUUUGAAUAAGGUCUUUCUUUAAUUCUUGUAUCCAAAAACUUAGCUUUUAUAAAGAUCUUAUGAAUUUGAUUAUAGGAUUCAUACCCACUUUAUAUGAUUUGAAACUAUGAUGCUCUCUUAUGAGCUAAAUUGCAUUUAAUAUGAAAAUUCAUGAUUUACUCAUGUUUUAAUCGUAUGACUGAUCUUAUGAAGUGAAUUUUAGCGUUCUUUGUAUGAGAUACCAUAAGGUGGUAGUUGUAUGUGAUUUUGUAAUGAUUCACUCAGCUUAAAGGAAAUUCAUACUUAUGAUUUCGAAUUCAGAAUGAAAUUAUUAGAAAUAGAAGCAUAUUGUUGUUUUCAAACUUAUUAGCUCAUAUUAUAAUAUGAUGUUGAAUUUUAUUUAUUCUAUGAGUAAUUGUAUAAUUUUGAUUGUAAUAUCUACCUUCAAGGGGCGAGGGUUUAGCAUAUCCUAGUCCCAUAAGCUACUUGCCACCAUAGGUAUUUAUUAUUUAACUUAUCCAAAUGGUCAUAUACAGGUGAUCAUAUUUAUAAACCUUUAUAUCCUAGUAAGGUAUAUCAGGUCCUUUCGAUGGAGGGAGUUUACACCAAACUCCAUGUUUCUUGCAUAAUUCCUAUCGGUUAAACAAUCUCCCAUAGAAAUGAUGAUUUUAGUAGCUAAGUGUAUUGACUUAGUGACUUUACCAGUUGUUGCUUAAUUACUUAUGUUUUACGAUACUUCAUCUUUCAAUUUUUUUUAUUAGUAUGAUGAGUCUAUAUACAAGUAGCAUGCAUGUCUAAUCUUAUGAUACAUAGCAAAUUUUUAAUUACUUCAUGCAAACCAAUAAACUUAAUAUAUUUUCGAAAUCAUGACCACAAACUCUAUGUUUUGUAUACUGUUAUGAUGUAGGUUCUUGUACUCUCUCUCAAUAACAUAAUUAGUCAUGAUCACCACUUCCUACCCUCCAUCAAUUAAUGAAUCCUCAUGUUUUGAGGACCUAGAUUAUGUGUACUUUUAGCAGCUCAGGUAUGAUUUUGUUCAGACUUUAUAUUUUUUCUUUAGGGUCAGCAGGGGUCCGUCCCAAUAGCCCUUCAAUAUGUUUAGAGGCUUGUAUCUUGGUUGUUAUUUUCAGAUAUUCAUAAGAUUUAACUGAUUUCAUAUUGCUUUAUUUAGAUUUUUUAUCCAAAUUAAUUUAGACUAUUAAGUUAAAGUUUGUACUUAUGAUUUAAGUAAAUUUUUCAUGAUUCACUGUUAAGUAGAUACCAUAGGUUAGUUUUAGGACUAUUUUUAGUAUUAAGCUCCAUGUGGGGUCUGGGGUAGUCUCGAGGAAUUACACUUGGUAAUAAAGCCUAAGAUUUAAGAGUGCUAUGAAAUCUAACAAGCCGCAUUAUGUAGAGUCUUAAUAAUGGGUGUGAUGCACACCGCACUAAUAAGCGAGAGACUAUGGGACAUUAAUAGGAGCUAUUAUUUUCUUUCAUAAUCUCAAUUAUGCUCUGUAAUUCAUUCUCUUUUCUAACUUGUUUUUUCACAUGACAGAUAAUGCCUCCUUGCAGAGCUUACAUUCGUAGAAAUAGGGACUAAUCAGCCCCACCACCAUAUAAAGAUCCUUUAAAUGAAAAUAUCUCCUAUGCUAAGUUUCAGUCUUUCUUUGAAGUAUUAGCUUAUGCUAUGAAUGCUCAAGGUAAUCACCCAACAGUAUCCCAGUUCAGUAAAAUGGUAUCUUAGCUAUAGCUAUAGUUUAAGAUUUCAUUAAGAUAAACACACUGGAGUUCUUUGGUUCAAAGGUGAAUGGGGAUCCAUAGAGCUUCAUUAAUGAGGUGAUGAAAUUACUCAAAUUAUACAUGUAACUAAAGUUUAGAGUAUGGAAUUUACAUCCUACCAGUUGAAGGAUGUUGUUUAUGACUAGGUUACCAUAUGGAAGGAAGGCAUGGAUGAGAAUACAACUACAAUAAGUAUGAAUGUGCUUCUAAUAGUUUUUUUGGAUAGGCUCUUUCCUUGUAAGUUGAAUGAGGCAAAGGUGGAGGAGUUUAUGAACCUUAAGUAGGGUUCUAAAUUACAAUGCUGUCUCAAGAUCACACAACUUUCUAAAUAUGCUCCAGAUUUGUUGCCUGAUUCUAGAGCUCGUAUGAAUAAAUUUACAGUGGAAUAUCUGGCUUGAUAGUCAAGGAGUGUAGAAAUUUCAAGAUAAUUAGGGAUAAGGAUAUUGCUCAAUUGAUGACUCAUGCUCAGCAUAUUGAGGCUAAGAAACUGAAGGAAUAUGAGAGGGAGGCAAAAAAUACUAGGACAAAAUAAUUUCAAUACGGUCAGCUUAAGUUGGGAGAAGAAAAUAGUUCUCAGUUUCAAAACCAUUUGUCAGAUCCUGCAUUAUCUUUAGCCAGUGCCCCCAUACCUAGCACUAAGCAGGAAUAAUUAGGUAGAGCACCGACCACCAGAUCUGAAAGUAGAAUUAAUAAAGAACCUAAGUAUCCAACCUAUAAAGAUGUGGUGGAAAUCAUUAGGGUAAGUGUUUGGAUGGAAAGGUAGGAAGUUUGGUAUGUUUAGAGAUAGACCAUAGGGUGAAUAAUUUCACCUCCACUUGACUGGGCAACAUGGGUGCUCGCCCUCAAACUCAGUCCACUACUUCAACAGCUCAGUCAGGCUUCGCAGCUUAGCAGAAGGGCAUAUUAUUUGAGACGAUGGUGGUCAACAUCAAAAUUGAUUUUAUGAUUUGUUUCGUUCUAGGAAAAGGAAAGCUACCCAGAUGUGGUUACUGGUAUACUUUAUGUCUUUAACCUUGAUACUUAUGUGUUGUUAGAUUUAGGGUCAAACCUUCCCUUUGUAACCCUAAUUAUUGCUGUGAAUUUUGGUGUAAUCCAAAGUCUUUCUGAAUGUUUUUCAGUUUCUACUACUUUUAGAGAGUCAGUUGUUGCUAGACGAAUCUACAAAAAGUGACUAAUUACAAUCCUUCAUAAAGUCACUCUAGCAAAUUUAAUAUAACUAAAAUGAUAGAUUUUGAUGUCAUUCUUGGUAUGGAUUGGCUUCAUUCAUGCUAUACCCUAGUUUAUUAACAUAUCUAAGAGGUAAAAUUUUAGUUUCGUAACGAGUUAGUCCUUGGGUGGGAGGGUAUUCUAGUAGUACCCAAAGGUCAAUUCAUCUCUAAAGGGUAGUCCAGUGGAUGACCCAAAAGUUGAUCUUUAAAGGGUAUAUCUAUCACCUAGUAUGGGUUAAAGAGACUUAAAUAUAAAACCCCAAACCUCCAGUUAGCUAACGUAGCCAACGAGUUUCCUAAAUUUUUUUAGAGGAUCUACUCGGAGUACCUCCUGAUAAGGAAAUCAAAUUUAGGAUUGAUCGUCUUCUAGAUACCCAGCCCAUCUUCAUUCCUCCUUACUAGAUGGCCCCAGCAAAAUUUAAGAAGUUAAAGAAACAACUUAAGGACCUUUUAGAUGAUGGAUUCACCCUACCUAUUAUUUCUUCAAAGGGCUCACCAAACCUAUUCGUGUGCAAAAAGGAUGGUACUCUCAAAAUAUGUAUAGAUUACCGAUAAUUAAACAUGGUCACCAUCAACAACAAAUACCCUAUUUUCAAAAUUGAUGACCUAAUUUACCAGCUUUAGCGUGCCCAUUGUUUUUUAAAAUUGAUCUCAGGUUGGGAUAUCAUCAGUUGAAGGCCAGAGAAUUUGACAUUCUAAAAACCAUUUUUUGAACUCGAUAUGGUCACUUUGAGUUUGUAGUUAUGUCUUUCAUACUAACAAAUUCUCCUACAGCUUUUAUGGACUUAAUAAAGAAAUUUUUUAAGCAGUAUUUAGACAUGUUCCUUAGUUUCUUCAUUGAUGACAUUCUUUUCUAUUCUCGGAACAAAGAGAAACAUGCAAACCAUUUAAGGAUAAUGUUGCAAACCUUCAGGUCACGUAUUAUUGGCAAAAUUUAGUAGAUAUGAGUUUUGGUUGUAGUCCGUUACCUCUUUAGGGCAUGUGAUUUUUGGUAAAGGUAUUCAUAUAGACCUUCAAAAAAUAGAUGCAGUGAAGCACUAGCCUAGGACUAUUACUCUAUCCAACAAUAGGAGCUUUCUAGGUUUAGCCAAAUACGAUAAAAUAUUGGUUGAGGGUUUUCCCUCGAUAUCUUUACCGUUGACCAAGUUGACACAAAAGAAGGUGAAGUUCUGAUGUCCAGACAAGUACGAGAAAAGUUUUCAAGAGUUGAAGGAUAUAUUGCCUUAAUCAUCGGUAUUAGCUUUGCUAGAUGGAUUAAAUGGAUUUGUGGUUUAUUGUAAUGCCUCUAAAGUUGGGUUAGGAUGUGUUUUAAUGCAAAAUAAAAGAGUGGUAUCUUAUGCUUCUAGACAACUCAAGGAUCAUAACAAGAAUUAUUCGACUCAUAAUUUGGAAUUAGUAGCAGUUAUGUUUACCUUGAAAAAUUAGAGACAUUAUUUAUAUGGAGUACAUGUUAAUGUUUUUACAAACCAUAAAAAACUCCAAUAUAUGCUUAGCUAGAAGGAGUUUAAUCUUUGUAAGAUAAGGUUGUUAGAAUUUCUAAAAGACUAUGACAUGAAUGUGCUCUACCACUCAAGUAAAGCAAAUAUAGUGGUUGAUUAAGUACAUUUUCUAUGGGUAGUGUAUCCAUGUUACAAAAAAGAAAAGGAGUUGGCAAAGAGGUGCAUAGAUUAGCUAGGUUGGGAGUUUAUUUAUGUAAUGCAGAUGAUAGUGGAUUGAAGGAUCAAAAUGAUUUAGAGUCACCUCUUAUAGCAAAGGUGAAGGGAAAACAACAUAAUGACCAUAUACUUAGUCAUUUAGUAGAUAGAAUUCAUCAGUAAAAGGCAGAGGUAUUCUACCAAAGGGGAGAUGGUGUUCUUUGCUAACAAGAUCAUUUGUGUUUCCUUAACAUAGCUAGGUUGAGAGAUAGAAUGUUAGAGAAGGCUCAUAGUUACAAGUAUUUAAUUCAUCCUGGUUCCACCAAGAUGUAUCUUGAUUUGUGGAAAGUCUACUAGUGGAAUGGUAUUGAGAGAGACAUAGCAGAGUUUAUGGCUAUGUGUCUGAAUUACCAAAAAGUGAAAUUCAAGCAUCAAAGACCAAAAGUAUGCUUCAGGAUAUUGGAUCCCUACUUAGAAGUAGGAGGUUAUCAAUAUAGAUUUUAUUAGGGGACUUCUCCGCACUACGCGUAAGCAUGAUUUAAUUUGGGUCAGUGUGGAUCGAAUGACCAUGUCACCCCAUUUCUUUCCAGUUAAGACCUCAGAUAUAACUAAAUAUAAUGUUAUGUUAUACAAUUGUAAGUUAGUAAGACUCUACAGAAUUCCUUUAUCCAUCAUUUCAGACUGAGGUACAUAGUUUACUUCUCACUUUAGCAAUCAUUCCUGAAGGGCCUUGGUAUAAAAGUGUAGCUUAGUACCAUUUUCCACGCUUAGAUAGAUGGUCAGUCCAAGUAUACUAUUCAAACUUUAGAAAAUAUAUUCGAAGCUUGUGAAAUUAACUUCAAAAGAAAUUGGGAUAAUCAUCUACCUCUAAUUGAGUUUGCUUAUUAUAUAGUAACCAUACUAUAUACAUAUGACUCUAUUCGAUGCUUUAUAUGAGUGUAGGUGUAGAUCCACCAGGGUGGUUUGAGGUUGGUGAGCCAACUUUGAUCGGUCCAGACUCUAUUCUUGAAGAUUUGGAGAAGGUUCAACUGAUUUGUGAGAUGUUGAAAAUCUCUCAAAGUCAUCAAAAAACGUAUGUAGAUGUUGUGGUGAUAAAACUAAAGUUUAUUGUUGGUUAUUAGGAAUUUUUAAGGUUGUCACCCAUGAAAGAAGUGAUAAGGUUUGGAAAGAAAGGAAUACUCAGUCCCCAGUGUAUUGGUCCAUACAAAAUCUUAAGGUGCAUUAGAGAUGUUACUUAUGAGCUGGAUCUUUCAUCAAAAUUAGUCAUCGUUCAUCCAAUUUUCCAUGUUUCCAUGUUGAAGAAUUCUAUUAAAGACCCAUCCUUGGUAGUGCCUAUUGAAAAUAUUGGAGUGAAAGAUAAUCUAUACUAUGAAGAGAUCACGGUUAUUAUUUAUCAUAGGUUUGAAGGUUAAGGAAUAAGGAUAUGGCUACAGUGAAAGUCUUGUGGAGGAAUCAGUCAGUCAUGGGAGCGACAUGGGAAACAAAGGCAGACAUGAUGAAUCGAUAUCCUUACUUAUUUUCUCCUAGCACUGAGUCAUCUUGAGGUAUGGAAUUUUCUCCAAACCUAUUCUACUCAAUGAAAUCCCUAGUUGUAUCAGUCAAAUCUAUGAAAUUCAUGUGUGGUCAGUCAGUUCAGUUGUACGCAUAUUCUUAGGGUAAGCUAGUUUUAGUUUCAUGGAAUGAUAAGAUUCAUACCUUAGCCUAAUGCAUACAUAAGUUAUAUUUUUCCCCCAUUUCAACCUUUAGUCGGGGACGAAUGGUCCAGGAGGAGAUAAUGUUAUGUCCUAUACGUUCAACCAUUUUAUUUUGAUAUCUCCCAUGUAUUUUAAUUCAAUUUUAAGGUUGAAUGGUUAUUAGAAAUGAUAAUAUUACCAUUAGGAAGUGUUUCAGAAUUUUUUGUGUGAGUUUUGUGGUUUAAUGUAACUCCAAAAUAGUAAGGGUUUGUGUUUAGGCUGUGCCACCAGGUCAAGGGAAAACCCAGAUAUGAAAAAUAGUAGCUUAGCAUGAUAAGGGUGUGCCAUGUUAUAUGGUUAAUGUGAUAAGGGUGUGCCAUACCACUAGCUUAUUGCGAUAAGGGCAUGCCAUACCAUUGGCCAUGGCGAUGCGAUAAAUUCAUUUUUUCUUUAGUUAUUUACGGUCAAAUUGGUUAUUUACGUCCUAAAUGAUCUUAUAACUUUCUCCUAAAUGUUUUCCCUCACUCUUCAAAUAAAUUCAGCAUUAAUUCUCCUUUCAAAACUCACUAGAACACAAAAUAUGGGUUUCUCUUAAGAAUUCAACCUUAAGGGCCCCCGACUCAAGUGUUCCUCCGAGUAAUUUGAUAAGUUCGGGGAUGUAGUGUUUGAAAAAAUGUUUUUUCUCAUCCUUGUCCCCAACAAAUUAGUUUUCAUAAUAAUUUCACGGAUUUGAUGAAUAGGGUUCAUAACCACUUUAUAUGAUUUGAAACUAUGAUGCUCUCUUAUGAGUUAAAUUGCAUUUAUUAUGAAAACUCAUGUUUUAAUCAUAUGAUUGAUCUUAUGAAGUGAAUUUUAGUGCUCUUGGUAUGAAAUACCAUAAUUUGCUAAAUAUAUACGAUUGAUUCACUUAUUUUACAAGAAAUUCAAACUUAUGAUUUCAGAAUCAGAAUGAAAUUCACAUAUGUACGUAUGGUUAUGAAAUAGAAAUAAAAGCAUGUUGUGGUUCUCACACUUAUCAGCUUAUAUGCUUACAUUAUGGUGAAUUUUCUUUAUUUAUUGAGUAAUAAUAUGAUUUUAGGAGUUUUACUAGCCUCGAGGGAGUCAAGAUUUAGCGUAUCCUAGUUUCAUAAAUUAUGUGUUGCCGUAUGUAUUCAUUAUUCAACUUGUCCAAAUGGGCAUGUAUAGGUGAUCAUGUUUAUAUGACUUUAUAUCCUGGAAAUAUUUAUUGGGUCCUUUUGAUGGGAAAUUUUGCAUCAUACUCCAUGUUUCUCACAUGAUUUAGGUUGGUGAAGAGAAUCUCCCACAAAAAUGAUGAUUUUAGAUACUAAGUGUAAUGACUCGCUGAUUUUACCUAUUUUUGCUUAAUUAUUUAUGCUUUAUGAUACUUUAGAUUUUAGUUUUAUUCAUGAAUAUGGUUAUUCUACAUAUACUUAGCAUGCAAGUUUUAAGAUUAUGAUACAUAAUUGUUUUACUUAUUGUAUGCACCCCGAUAUACUUAGUACAUUCUUUAAUUACUGACCACAAACUCAAUGUGAUCUACAUCCUCUUAUAAUGUCAGUUUUAGUGUUUGUCUAAAGCAACACGAUUAUCCACAAUCACCACUUCUUAUCUCCCAUCCGUUGGUGAGUCCUCAAGUUCCAAGGACCUAGAUUAUGUGUACUUUUAGUAUCCUAGUUAUGAUUUUGUUUAGAUUUUAUGUUUUCCCUAUUGGGUCAUUUGUGGUCUGUUCCAGUGGCUCUUCAAUAUGUUUAGGUAGUUGUCUAGACUUGGUGGUUGUUUUUAGAUAUUCAUAUAUUUCAGUUGAUGUCUAGUCACAUUACAUUUUUGGGAUUGUUUAUCUAAAUUUAUUCAAAAUAUUAAGUUAAAGUUUCUGCUCAUGUUUUAAGUAAAUUUGUCAUGAUUCAAUGCCAAGUAGUUACAAUGGGUUAUCUUUGAGACUACUUGUAGUCCUAAGAACUAUGUGAUGUCUGGGGAUAGUCUCGGAGCAUUAAAAGUGAGUGGGGUGAUAGACUUUUUAAAUAUAGGGAGGAUUAUUAAAGGAUUAAAUUAAACUGUCAUAACAUUGAUACCCAAGAGUCAUCACACUGAGGAAGUGGGCGAUUAUAAGCCCAUCUCUUAUUGCUAUACCAUAUACAAAAUAGCCUAAAGGAUGAUGUCUUGUAGGUUAAGAAGGGUGAUAUCAGAUAUAGUGGCAGGUAAUCAAAGAGCUUUUGUUGCUGGAUGAUCCAUCGUGCAAAAGAUUUUUAUAGGUUAGGACUACAAUAGGAAGAACAUUACUAAAAGUUGUCUUAAUAAGAUUGAUUUACGCAAAACUUAUUAUAGUGUUGAGUGAGGAUUCUUGGAGGAGAUAUUAGACGGCCUUAACUUCCCUCAAAAUUUUAUUCAAUAGCUAAUGCCAUGUGUGUGCACUGCACAAUACAACAUCACACUAAAUCGGGGGAUAUAUGAAAAGAUAGAAGGAAAAGGGGACUUCACCAAGGAGACCCAAUAUCACCACUACUUUUUAUAGUAUAUGUGAAGUAUUUCACUAGAAUUUUUAGGUGGAUAGCUGGUCAGAAGGGGUUCUAGUUUCAUACUAAGUGUAAAAGUUUGAAAUAGAACUAUUUGUGCCUUGCGUAUGACAUGUUAAUAAUUAGAAAAGGGGAAUAUCAAGUUAUAAUCCGAAUGAUACGGGGAAUGAAGGUAGCAUCAAAAGAACCAGACAUAACAAUAAAUGAUUCCAGCUAAUUAUUUUUCCAAGAAUAUAGAGAAGCAAAGUCUGGAGGAUCUAUGUGAAGUUACAGGCUAUGCUAUAGGUAAGCUUUUAUUUCCUUAUCUUAGAAUCCCUAUUUCAACAAAGCAACUUUCUCCAAGUGAUUGUGAGGUGUUGGUUUACAAACUAAUAAUAAACAUAUGAACCUUGGGAUCCAGGAACCUAUUUUAUGUUGGGUGAGUGCAAUUAAUCAACUAAGUUCUAAUACAUGUGAACUCAUACUGGUCGAUCAUUUUCUUGCUACGUAAGGAGGUUAUGAAAAGAAUUAUAAUUGUGUCCAGAAAAUUUUUAUAAAGGGGAUAUUUAAAUACUAAUAAACAACCAUUAGUAGCAUGGGAAAUAGUUUUCACACUUAAGAGUAAAGGUGGGCUUGGAAUCAAUUACUGUGUAAGAUGGAAUGAGGGAGCCAUAGCAAAAUAUGUUUGAAGUAGAGCAGUCAAAAAUGAUAAUCUAUGAGUGAAAUGGGUUAAUCACAUAUAUAUCAAGAAUGAUUAGUUGCAACACAUACCUAAUCAAGAUACUUGUUGGCAUUGGAAAAAGAUAAGUAGCAUAAAGGAAAAGUUUUGGAUAAGCUACGUGGGAAAUGGUUGGUUGUAGGCUACAGGGGAAUACACUAUGAGAAGUGGAUAUAAAUGGAGAUGUAGAGCUGGGGGUGAUUGGCCAUGGUAGAUAGGAGUCUGGAAUAAUCUGAAUAUACUCAGGCAUAAAUUCAUAAGGUGGCUUGCAACGCAUCGAAGAUUCUUCAUGAAAUAAAGAUUGACAAAGAUAAAUAUUAGUUCAACUACACACUACAUGUUGUGUGGAGACCUAGUAGAAAUGGUAGAGCAUGCUUUGUUUGAUAAUUUCUUUCCCUAGAAGUUCCNNNNNNNNNNNNNNNNNNNNNNNNNNNNNNNNNNNUACAGGAGGUUCUAGAUUCGUCACAAAUAAAAUAACAAUCCAAUAUAUGCCAGGAACAUAGAGAAGAAUGGCAAAAAAUGCUCAAGGAAAAUUAACUAGAGAUUUCUUAUGGGUAGCAGUAGCAAUACUAACCUGUGGUAUAUGGCACGCAAGAAAUAAGGCAAUAUUGUGUCAAAAGGUCCCCAAGACACAAUGAUUGUCAAGUAGGGGCAUAAGAGUGUAAAUAUAAAGUUUUUGGGCUUUUGUAUCAGAAAUCUACAUGUAAUGAUAGGAAUUGGAUAGAAGAAUUAUACAACAGGAAAGACAUGUAAAGUGGAUGACAGUAUCUCGAAGUGGUCGAGAGAGUUUCUUUAUUU